Cymbomonas tetramitiformis is the source of this 123-nucleotide non-coding RNA. Lineage: Eukaryota; Viridiplantae; Chlorophyta; Pyramimonadophyceae; Pyramimonadales; Pyramimonadaceae. The record is from the annotation of a GenBank genome assembly.
UGCAUCGAUCAUACCACGGUGAAUAUACCCGUUCCCAUCAGCACACGGAAGUCAAGCACCGUUGGGCGGGAUUAGUACUCUGGUCGGGGACGAACGACAGGGGAACCCCUUGUGUCGAUGUGU